GGUUAUGGCUCAGUGGUAGAGCACUCACCUAGCACAUGCGAGGCCCUGGGUUCAAUCCUCAGCACCA
This 67-nucleotide transfer RNA is filed under the name Marmota monax (woodchuck). Its description in RNAcentral is "tRNA.Ala". The record is from RNAcentral. Lineage: Eukaryota; Metazoa; Chordata; Mammalia; Rodentia; Sciuridae.